RNAcentral lists this ribosomal RNA (434 nucleotides) under uncultured bacterium. Its description in RNAcentral is "bacterial SSU rRNA". It matches the Rfam family "Bacterial small subunit ribosomal RNA", at positions 954 to 1392 of the family's 1533-position model. The record is from RNAcentral.
GCAUAACGCGAAGAACCUUACCCACCUUUGACAUGUACGGAAUCCUUUAGAGAUAGAGGAGUGCUCGAAAGAGAGCCGUAACACAGGUGCUGCAUGGCUGUCGUCAGCUCGUGUCGUGAGAUGUUGGGUUAAGUCCCGCAACGAGCGCAACCCUUGCCAUUAGUUGCUACGAAAGGGCACUCUAAUGGGACUGCCGGUGACAAACCGGAGGAAGGUGGGGAUGACGUCAAGUCCUCAUGGCCCUUAUAGGUGGGGCUACACACGUCAUACAAUGGCUGGUACAAAGGGUUGCCAACCCGCGAGGGGGAGCUAAUCCCAUAAAGCCAGUCGUAGUCCGGAUCGCAGUCUGCAACUCGACUGCGUGAAGUCGGAAUCGCUAGUAAUCGCAAAUCAGCAUGUUGCGGUGAAUACGUUCCCGGGUCUUGUACACACCG